RNAcentral lists this ribosomal RNA (253 nucleotides) under uncultured microorganism. RNAcentral describes it as "partial 16S ribosomal RNA". It matches the Rfam family "Bacterial small subunit ribosomal RNA", at positions 524 to 776 of the family's 1533-position model. The record is from RNAcentral.
UACGGAGGGUGCGAGCGUUAAUCGGAAUUACUGGGCGUAAAGCGUGCGCAGGCGGUUUGUUAAGCGAGAUGUGAAAGCCCCGGGCUCAACCUGGGAACCGCAUUUCGAACUGGCAAACUAGAGUCUUGUAGAGGGGGGUAGAAUUCCAGGUGUAGCGGUGAAAUGCGUAGAGAUCUGGAGGAAUACCGGUGGCGACGGCGGCCCCCUGGGCCUGUACUGACGCUCAUGCACGAAAGCGUGGGGAGCAAACAGG